This is a long non-coding RNA of Cygnus olor (mute swan), 2207 nucleotides long. RefSeq lists it as uncharacterized. The record is from RefSeq and is a predicted model, not a curated record. NCBI's taxonomy places the organism in Eukaryota, Metazoa, Chordata, Aves, Anseriformes, Anatidae. The transcript is spliced from 4 exons.
CAAAGGCAUUAAAUGAACCAUUUCUGAGACUCUACUGACUUUAUUCAUUCCCUCAUUUCUUACUUUGCUAAUGGAGAAAGACAUCAGAAGAAGAAAGGGAAAGAUGCAGAUCAUGAAUUAGACUGCCUGCCUAAACCAGACUGCUGAUUUUCUUGAAAGCUCUGCUCUCCCCUCCAUCCUGGCAUUAUCAGAUAUUGGAUCUGUGUUUUGUGCAGAAGUGCCAUGGAAGCAUGCUUGCCCAAUCAGUCCAUAUCUCUGCCUCAUCCUCACAGUAAAAGCAGUGGUUAAGGCAGAAAAACACCCGCUUGAAAGCAGUCAUUACAGCAACCUUCUAUCCAGGGCUUGGCUGCCUUCACGGGGCAAGGGAAUGAAAGUAAAGUGGAUGGAAACUGAUCUAGUGCCAUUCAGCCGUCAGUGGGAUGAGCAAAGACUUCAAGCCAAAAUCUCUUUCCCAGCAUAAUGCAGUGUAGAAGGUGGCAGAGCAAGAAAAUCCAACAGACGAGGAGCGUAACGCAGCUAACGUCUGGCAGAUCAGAAAACCUUUCCUGCGCGGCUGCUGGAUGUCGUUGCACAGAGGCAGAGCACGAGGCUGUGCAGCAGCUGGACGGGACGUCCUGUCCUGUCCUUCCCGUCGCUCUGCUCCUGGCUGCAGGCUCACCGCCUGUCCUCUGCUUUACUGCACGCCAGCGUUAUCAGAUGUGACUCAGAGAGGGUGCUUUGGAAAGCAGGCAGUGCUGGCGGCCUGUCGCAAGGGCCACAGUUGUCCUUUCCAGUGUGGCACUGUCCUCUAGUGGAAAAGGGGGCUGCCUGGCUAUUUGCUGUGCUGUCCGGGCAGCUGCAGCUCCGGGGCACUUUUUGGAAGCUGAUCAUGGUAAUCAGGCACGUUGUGGCUCCAGGAGGCCACCAAGCAGGCACGGCGUGGUUUUGUGCUGCAGUGUCGUGGCAGCUACUUGGGAGUGCUCGGGGGCUGCUGCGGCCCCCAGAAAGCUUCUGAUGCAGCUCAUGGCUCCAGGAGGUCUCAGCAAUAAGGAACAGUAAUGUCUCUUCCUCAGAUUCAAACCCUGAGUCUCUUGGUCCCAGUCCUAGGAGAGGUGACCCAUCUGUCAUUGGGUUUGAAGUGGAUGAACUGCAUUCCAGGCUAAGAAGAGAGUGCCUUUCAAGUUGAGCCUCCCUCAAUAAUCAACAUAUCGGUUUGUACUGAUAGAGAUCACCUACUGAAUUUCAUUAGAGUGAUGCUUACCGUGGUCCUUGCAGCAUGCUGUCUACUUGGCAGCUGCUUUGCAUCCUGGAGUUGGCUGCAGUUCAAUGGUAAAGGAAUUCUUAACUGUUUGUCAUUGUAAAGCACUUUGGGAUGAAUGGUGUUACAUAAAUGUAAGAUUAUGAUUAGGCAUUAAUCUGCACCGAAAUAAUGAAGAAUAUUUAAAUGUGCUUUUUCUUCCAGUAAGUCUUAUUUAAUGUGAAGGGGAAUCAAUUUAUCACUGUCUUGCCAUGACUUUCUCCUACCCCUCCAGCUAGAAUUGCAAAUUGUGAAUUGCAGAGAAGAAAACGGUUGGCUGUCAACGGCAGCAUAAUUGCAAAUGGCCCCGUGAUCCAAACUGAAGCUAUUUAUCCUCAGCGGCUUUUGGAGUUCUACUUUCAAAUGUUUUCAUCCAAACAAGUCAGUGACCCUGAACCUACAAGGCCAUAUUACACAAGAACUCAUAGCUGCAGAGCUGCUGUGCACGGGCCUGGUACAUCGUGUGACAGACGAGCACCCUGUGGCAGAGCUUUGUGCUCUGCUUUUGACUCCAUUGGCUGCGCAGCAGAGAUCACGUAAACUUUCACUGUAAAACCCUUAGAAAGGACAACAGCUACCCAGCUCUUCCGUGUUACUGACCAUGGAUCCAGCAAGAAGCCGAACCCUGCUGAUCCAUUCAUUCUGGAAGCUAUCUGCCUUACUGUUCAGCAUGAUUAUACCACGUACCGCACAACCGUACCCUUCCAAGUGAUUCAUGAGGUUCCAGGGCUUUGCUGUAACGUAUCUCGAAUGUCAACGAGUACAGAGAAAGCAAAAGACUGGCAAAGUAGAGACCUGAGUUGUUUAUUUCAAACAAAGCUUUGGCUGGGUUGAAGUAUUUGGGAAGGUUUCUAGAAGCACCGAUCUAGUUUUGUGUCAGCUUUUUUGUAUUAGCAGUAUCUAUCAAGCUGGAAAGUAUUCUCCUAUACAG